RNAcentral lists this long non-coding RNA (511 nucleotides) under Salvia miltiorrhiza (redroot sage). RNAcentral's name for it is "long non-coding RNA (SMIL_LNC006777)". The record is from RNAcentral. Lineage: Eukaryota; Viridiplantae; Streptophyta; Magnoliopsida; Lamiales; Lamiaceae.
CCCACUCGAGUAACCAAACUUCCCACCAAGCUCAAGGAUUACACUUUAUGAUGAAAAAUAUCUAUUGGUCCCCCUCCUCCCUCUGAAAGUUGUUGUUAUGGCAGGCUAGCUGUCUUUUGUUUUUAGCUUAACCAAAGGCCUGUGUGCCAUUAAUAUGUCUUUCUACUCUAGUUUGCUUUCUCAAUCAAUGNACACUUUAUGAUGAAAAAUAUCUAUUGGUCCCCUCCUCCCUCUGAAAGUUGUUGUUAUGGCAGGCUAGCUGUCUUUUGUUUUUAGCUUAACCAAAGGCCUGUGUGCCAUUAAUAUGUCUCUACUCUAGUUUGCUUUCUCAAUCAAUGAAAAACUGAGUUGUUGUUCUGAAUUUCUCUGUGCUUUCUUUCUUUUGGGAGUCAGAGUUCACUCGAAGAACUCAUAUUUGAUUAAGAGUGUAUCAGAUUGUUUGAAGGAUGUAAUGUUAUUGAUUUAAUGAGUGUUUUAAAAAUCAUAUUGUUUGAAUGAAUUUUUUUCCACA